Molecule: small RNA, 344 nt
Filed under: uncultured bacterium
Lineage: Bacteria
Description: bacterial SSU rRNA
Rfam family: Bacterial small subunit ribosomal RNA
Source: RNAcentral
GUCGUUCGGGAAUGCGGGAAACGGCCCGCUAGUAUAGCGGCGGACGGGUGAGUAACACGUGUUCUCACCUACCCAUCAGUCUGGGAUAACAGGCCGAAAGGCCUGCUAAUACCGGAUUCGGCCAUGUGGUCGGGAGACUAUAUGGAGAAAGGGGCCCUCUGAACGUAAGGUCUCGCUGAUGGAGGGGCUCGCGGCCUAUCAGCUAGUUGGUGGGGUAACGGCCUACCAAGGCGAUGACGGGUAGCCGGCCUGAGAGGGUGACCGGCCACACUGGGACUUAGACACGGCCCAGACUCCUACGGGAGGCAGCAGUGGGACCCACUCCUACGGGAGGCAGCAGUGGG